Molecule: ribosomal RNA, 371 nt
Filed under: uncultured organism
Description: bacterial SSU rRNA
Rfam family: Bacterial small subunit ribosomal RNA
Source: RNAcentral
CGUAGGGUGCGAGCGUUAAUCGGGAUUACUGGGCGUAAAGCGUGCGCAGGCGGUUUAGUAAGACAGGCGUGAAAUCCCCGGGCUCAACCUGGGAACUGCGCUUGUGACUGCUAAGCUAGAGUACGGCAGAGGGGGUGGAAUUCCACGUGUAGCAGUGAAAUGCGUAGAGAUGUGGAGGAACACCAAUGGCGAAGGCAGCCCCCUGGGUCGAUACUGACGCUCAUGCACGAAAGCGUGGGUAGCAAACAGGAUUAGAUACCCUGGUAGUCCACGCCCUAAACGAUGUCAACUAGGUGUUGGGAGGGUAAAACCUUUUAGUACCGGAGCUAACGCGUGAAGUUGACCGCCUGGGGAGUACGGCCGCAAGGUUA